CGAAAACCAGAUCCACCCUUUAAAGUCUCGACGCUGAAAAGGCACGUUGAAAAGGCAUCAGAUAUCCCUUUCAUCUUCGUCACUUCUCAGCUGCUUUUAAGACCAUCUUCGUACCAAAGAUUUAUAGGUGUGUUUCUACCAUUUCACACUUGAAAACAAGAAAAAGGAAAAUCGAAUAGCUUCAUUUGAUCAAAUAAAAAAGAGAGUGAUAGGUUCUAUUCAUGUCGUUCAACAUUUUAGCUUCUUUUUCGGAGUUUUCGAUUCCGAAAGCAAGGAUUUCAAUGGAGUAUGAUUGAGUUAGUCUUGGUUUCGAACUUUUCAGUGCCGAUCUGAGUUUUCGUCCGUGGUUCGUUAUAUUUCUGAGUUCAAAGCAGUAAAAAAUUAAUUUUUAGCUAAUUGAGGUCCAUUUCUCUUUCUCUGCCUAAUUUGACAUCUUUUC
This 439-nucleotide long non-coding RNA is filed under the name Nicotiana benthamiana. RNAcentral's name for it is "long non-coding RNA (NBEN_LNC010472)". Lineage: Eukaryota; Viridiplantae; Streptophyta; Magnoliopsida; Solanales; Solanaceae. The record is from RNAcentral.